AGCGAACGCUGGCGGCAGGCUUAACACAUGCAAGUCGAACGGGCAUCUUCGGAUGUCAGUGGCAGACGGGUGAGUAACACGGGGGAACGUACCCUUCGGUUCGGAAUAACUCAGGGAAACUUGAGCUAAUACCGGAUACGCCCUUUUUGGGAAAGGUUUACUGCCGAAGGAUCGGCCCGCGUCUGAUUCGCUUGGUGGUGGGGUAACGGCCUACCAAGGCGACGAUCAGUAGCUGGUCUGAGAGGAUGAUCAGCCACACUGGGACUGAGACACGGCCCAGACUCCUACGGGAGGCAGCAGUGGGGAAUAUUGGACAAUGGGCGCAAGCCUGAUCCAGCCAUGCCGCGUGAGUGAUGAAGGCCUUAGGGUUGUAAAGCUCUUUUGUCCGGGACGAUAAUGACGGUACCGGAAGAAUAAGCCCCGGCUAACUUCGUG
RNAcentral lists this ribosomal RNA (435 nucleotides) under uncultured bacterium. RNAcentral's name for it is "partial 16S ribosomal RNA". It matches the Rfam family "Bacterial small subunit ribosomal RNA", at positions 29 to 507 of the family's 1533-position model. The record is from RNAcentral.